CAGCAGCCACGGUAAUACGUAGGUGGCAAGCGUUGUCCGGAAUUAUUGGGCGUAAAGGGCUCGCAGGCGGUUUCUUAAGUCUGAUGUGAAAGCCCCCGGCUCAACCGGGGAGGGUCAUUGGAAACUGGGAAACUUGAGUGCAGAAGAGGAGAGUGGAAUUCCACGUGUAGCGGAGAAAUGCGUAGAGAUGUGGGGGAACACCAGUGGCGAAGGCGACUCUCUGGUCUGUAACUGACGCUGAGGAGCGAAAGCGUGGGGAGCGAACAGGAUUAGAUACCCCGGUAGUCCCUGUCUCUUAUAC
This 301-nucleotide ribosomal RNA is filed under the name uncultured bacterium. Its description in RNAcentral is "partial 16S ribosomal RNA". It matches the Rfam family "Bacterial small subunit ribosomal RNA", at positions 509 to 807 of the family's 1533-position model. The record is from RNAcentral.